ACGAACGCUGGCGGCAUGCCUCACACAUGCCAGUCGAACGCGACCUUCGGGUCUAGUGGCGCACGGGUGCGUAACGCGUGGGAACCUGCCCUUAGGUUCGGGAUAACUCCCCGAAAGGGGUGCUAAUACCGGAUAAUGUCUUCGGACCAAAGAUUUAUCGCCUUUGGAUGGGCCCGCGUUGGAUUAGCUAGUUGGUAGGGUAAAAGCCUACCAAGGCGACGAUCCAUAGCUGGUCUGAGAGGAUGAUCAGCCACACUGGGACUGAGACACGGCCCAGACUCCUACGGGAGGCAGCAGUGGGGAAUAUUGGACAAUGGGCGAAAGCCUGAUCCAGCAAUGCCGCGUGAGUGAUGAAGGCCUUAGGGUUGUAAAGCUCUUUUACCCGGGAUGAUAAUGACAGUACCGGGAGAAUAAGCUCCGGCUAACUCCGUG
RNAcentral lists this ribosomal RNA (432 nucleotides) under uncultured bacterium. RNAcentral's name for it is "partial 16S ribosomal RNA". It matches the Rfam family "Bacterial small subunit ribosomal RNA", at positions 29 to 507 of the family's 1533-position model. The record is from RNAcentral.